CCAUUUGGGUUCUGCCUAUUA
RNAcentral lists this non-coding RNA (21 nucleotides) under Arabidopsis thaliana (thale cress). The record is from RNAcentral. Lineage: Eukaryota; Viridiplantae; Streptophyta; Magnoliopsida; Brassicales; Brassicaceae.